GAUGAACGCUAGCUACAGGCUUAACACAUGCAAGUCGAGGGGCAGCGGGAUUGAAGCUUGCUUCAAUUGCCGGCGACCGGCGCACGGGUGAGUAACGCGUAUCCAACCUUCCGUACACUCAGGGAUAGCCUUUCGAAAGAAAGAUUAAUACCUGAUGGUAUGAUGAGAUUGCAUGUUCACAUGAUUAAAGGUAUUCCGGUAGACGAUGGGGAUGCGUUCCAUUAGAUAGUAGGCGGGGUAACGGCCCACCUAGUCUUCGAUGGAUAGGGGUUCUGAGAGGAAGGUCCCCCCACAUUGGAACUGAGACACGGUCCAAACUCCUACGGGAGGCAGCAGUGAGGAAUAUUGGUCAAUGGGCGAGAGCCUGAUGCAGCGACGCCGCGUGAGCGAAGAAGUAUUUCGGUAUGUAAAGCUCUAUCAGCAGGGAAGAAAAUGACGGUACCUGACUAAGAAGCCCCGGNUAACGUACGUG
This 472-nucleotide ribosomal RNA is filed under the name uncultured bacterium. RNAcentral describes it as "bacterial SSU rRNA". It matches the Rfam family "Bacterial small subunit ribosomal RNA", at positions 28 to 507 of the family's 1533-position model. The record is from RNAcentral.